GAAAAUUUUAUUAAGGUUUCUUUUAAUUUAAUUUUAAUUUAUAAACAAUUUAUCUCUCUUAAGAAUUAAUUAUCUUUAUUCAAUAAUUUAUUUAAAAUAGUUAAAAAUUUAUUAUAGGUUAAUUAAUGUGCCAGCUACCGCGGUUAAACAUUUUAUAAAAAUUAAAUUUUAUCCCUCUAAAUUUUUCUUAAUAUAGUAAAAUAAUCAAUUUUUUUUUUAAAAAGAAAAAUCUUUGAAAAUUUUUUUAAAAAUCGAUUAGUACCAAUUUAUAAAAAAUUGAAAAAAGAAUAGAAAAGAAAUCAAUUAAUUAGGCGGUUGGCCCAAAAUAGGGAAGCUUGUAUAUUAAAAUGAUAGUCCUCAAUAAUUUUAGUACUAAUAUCUAUUUGUAGUGUAUGUCCGUAACUCUUUAUUAUUUAGAUAAUAAAGAAAAUAUUAUUUAUUAAUAAUUAAUUUCAGGUCUUUAUGCUCUUAGUAUUAGGUUAUAUUAGCUUUAAUUUAAAAUAGUUUAAAAUAGAAUUUUUUUUAAGAAAACUUAUAAGUAAAAAUAAUAAUAUUGUUUUGAAUUUUUAAGGUUGAAGCACUCACUGCCCGCUAUAUAGUUUUAUUAUAAAGGCGUAACAAGGUAGUUGUUCCAGAAGGAACAACUGGUACUUUUCAAUA
Molecule: non-coding RNA, 660 nt
Organism: Ciona intestinalis (vase tunicate)
Lineage: Eukaryota; Metazoa; Chordata; Ascidiacea; Phlebobranchia; Cionidae
Source: the annotation of a RefSeq genome assembly